This 277-nucleotide ribosomal RNA is filed under the name uncultured Rhodobacterales bacterium. Its description in RNAcentral is "partial 16S ribosomal RNA". It matches the Rfam family "Bacterial small subunit ribosomal RNA", at positions 505 to 781 of the family's 1533-position model. The record is from RNAcentral. Lineage: Bacteria; Pseudomonadati; Pseudomonadota; Alphaproteobacteria; Rhodobacterales.
GUGCCAGCAGCCGCGGUAAUACGGAGGGGGCUAGCGUUGUUCGGAAUUACUGGGCGUAAAGCGCACGUAGGCGGAUCAGAAAGUUGGGGGUGAAAUCCCGGGGCUCAACCUCGGAACUGCCUUCAAAACUAUUGGUCUUGAGUUCGAGAGAGGUGAGUGGAAUUCCGAGUGUAGAGGUGAAAUUCGUAGAUAUUCGGAGGAACACCAGUGGCGAAGGCGGCUCACUGGCUCGAUACUGACGCUGAGGUGCGAAAGCGUGGGGAGCAAACAGGAUUAG